GAGUUUGAUUCUGGCUCAGGACGAACGCUGGCGGCGUGCCUAAUACAUGCAAGUCGAACGAACGGAGAAAGAAGCUUGCUUUUUUCAAAGUUAGUGGCGAACGGGUGAGUAACACGUGGGUAACCUGCCCAUCAGAGGGGGAUAACAUUCGGAAACGGAUGCUAAAACCGCAUAGGUUCCUUAGUUGCAUGACUGAGGAAGGAAAAGAGGCGUAAGCUUCUGCUGGUGGAUGGACCCGCGGUGCAUUAGCUAGUUGGUGAGGUAACGGCUCACCAAGGCGAUGAUGCAUAGCCGACCUGAGAGGGUGAUCGGCCGCAUUGGGACUGAGACACGGCCCAAACUCCUACGGGAGGCAGCAGUAGGGAAUCUUCCGCAAUGGACGCAAGUCUGACGGAGCAACGCCGCGUGAGUGAAGAAGGUUUUUGGAUCGUAAAACUCUGUUGUUAGAGAAGAAUAAGCAUAAUAGUAAC
This 470-nucleotide ribosomal RNA is filed under the name Granulicatella sp. canine oral taxon 095. Its description in RNAcentral is "bacterial SSU rRNA". It matches the Rfam family "Bacterial small subunit ribosomal RNA", at positions 9 to 465 of the family's 1533-position model. Lineage: Bacteria; Bacillati; Bacillota; Bacilli; Lactobacillales; Carnobacteriaceae. The record is from RNAcentral.